GCUGCUGCCCUGACAGCGCUCUUGCCCGCAGCCCGCCCUGCCCUCACAGCGCUGCUGCCCUCACAGCGCUGCUGCCCUCACAGCGCUGCUGCCCUCACAGCGCUGCUGCCCGCAGCCCGCCCUGCCCUCAGAGCGCUGCUGCCCUCACAGCGCUGCUGCCCUCACAGCGCUGCUGCCCGGUGCCCGCCCUGCACUCAGGGCGCUGCUGCCCUCACGGCGCUGCUGCCCUCAGGGCGCUGCUGCCCUCACGGCGCUGCUGCCCUCACAGCGCUGCUGCCCUCACAGCGCUGCUGCCCGCAGCCCGCCCUGCCCCGGGGUCGGCGGCGACAGCGGCAAUAAUCCUGCCCUGUCAGGGUGGGCAGGCCUGGCACAGGCUGCACAGAGAAGCUGGAGCUGCCCCAUCCCUUGGAAGUGCCCCAGGCCAGGCUGGAGCAGCCUGGGACAGUGGAAGGUGUCCCUGCCCAUGGCAGGGGUGGCACUAGAUGGGCUUUAAGGUGCCUUCCAACCCAACCUGUUCUAUGAUGACUUAAACAGAGCCUUGCUUUAAAUCCACUUGCUUCCACAAAUCGAUGAAGAACUGAUUUUUUUUUUUUAAAGGACACGCAAACUGCAGUAUUACAAGCAGCAGGAGCGGAGGGAUCCCAGAGGAGAAGCCGAGCAGAGAGGCAGGACAGAGGUGUCCUGUGCCAUGGCUGGACCUGGCACAGCGUGGCUCCGGCAGCACAGGACGCGUGGGACUGUCACCAGCCACAGGUGUUUCUGGAGGUGAAUCACAGAGGAAAAGGUGAAGGAAAAAAGAGAAGGCACUGUCAUUUCAGCGAGAGGCUUCUGAGCGGGGAGACUUUCUGAUUUAUUGAUUUCACCACUGCUUGGAAAACAGAAAUAAAUUUUCUGUGAAAACAGAAGUGGAACAAAGAAGCUUGUCUUCAUUACCAUCUUUUUCCCCUUACAGAAACUGAAAUUUUGCCUAAUUUCUUGAAUGAAAAGAAAACCACAAUUACUAUAUAGAUCAAUUGCAUCUAAAUUAAACCAACUUUUCAAACUCGAUUGCCACACAAAGCUGCUCAUUUUGCUGCCAAAAUGUGCACACAAACUUCUAUUUGCAAGAUUUAAUACUUCUUAAUCUAUUUAGUGGUUAGCAAAGCAAGCUAGGGAAAUAAUUAGUCCCAUAAAGCAAUGGAAUUUAAGAAGUCUGAUCCGAAUUUUAAUAAAAUUGGACAAGAAGAUCAAAAAUUGUUUGAAGGGAGCUGACAGAGAUCACAACCUGCCUUGCACCUUAUUUUCCUCAAGAAAUACAGAUUAAAAGAGCACUGUGGAUCACAGCACAAUUUGAAUGCUUUGUGAUAUACUAAAAGCUUAGAAAUUAACAUUUAAGGUGGCUGCAUAAUAUCAAAUUUAGAUUGGAUCAGCAAGGUAUAAAUGUAAAUAAGUAUAAAGCACAAAUAACUGAAAUUUGCUUAAUCCUUAAGAUGUGACUUCCCAUUAAUACAGAUACAAUGGGAGCAGUUGUGCUGAGGGUUUAAUGGCAUGAACAGCUUUGCCAGCACAAUAUUUGAAGGUUUUUUUGCCGAGCAAAUUCUGUUCCCUUAGGAAUAAACCCCUUCAAGCAUGGAAGAAGGCAAUUAUCCAUUUGACAGAUUUGCUUUGCUGUAUAUUAUGUGUAACAAAGCAGGAAAUGAGACUGAAAUAUAAAAUAAGGUGCUAAUUUUCUGCAGUUUUUCUAAUGAAAUUACAGUAAUCAAACAGAAACAAGCAGUAAUAUUUCCUUUUCACCUAAGCUAGAAACUAGGAGUGUUUUCUAGAAUGGAGGCAGCCUGCAGGGGGUUUUUUGUUUGUUUUUUCCUGACUUAUUAUUUUAGCAGCAUGUGGCUGGUUAUUCAUUUCCUGAGGAAAAACCAAUAAUCAAUGCCUGCCAACAUUUGCUUUUUAUUUAAUUAGGAACAUAGGACUGGAAAGAACCACCUAGGUCAUCAAGUCCAGUUUCUAAUUAAACACUCUUCAAAAAUAUUGAUUAAUCAAAGUUGCAUAAAUAUGGUGGAUUUUUUAUAACCCAGUGUCCUCUGCAGAGAUUGUAAGUGAUCUUCUGCUUUUUUUUGUUUUGUUGGUAAGGAAUUUUCAGUACAAAGAGUGACUAUUAUUUUCAAUGAAAAGAGCUCAUCAUGUUGAUAUUUGAUUUUCAGUAAUUUUAUAUGACAAUGACAGUAUUUUGUGUUGGAAAUUUGUGCUUGAUCUAUGAUUAUUAUUAAAUCUCUGUGUUAAUUUUCAUACUUCAACUGCCUCAAUCGAUUGAAGAAAUUGGCCGUAUCUAAAAAGGUAAGAUUAAUAGAUUCACUUCUAAAAAAUCCAUUAGUCUGUUCUCCCUAUAUUUAAUAUAUUCUUGAUUAUAAAAGAUGCUGCAACAAUUGCGAAUAUACAUUUUAAACAUUAACUGUUAAAAUAAUUUUAACCAGAAAGUAACUGCAAUUGAUUUUGUCGUACUAGAAGGAAUACAUUAAAUUACCAGAAACACUGUAUGUCAAAUUUGAAUUUAUAGAGAAGUAAGGGAAAA
This is a non-coding RNA of Taeniopygia guttata (zebra finch), 2548 nucleotides long. Lineage: Eukaryota; Metazoa; Chordata; Aves; Passeriformes; Estrildidae. The record is from RefSeq and is a predicted model, not a curated record.